This 451-nucleotide ribosomal RNA is filed under the name uncultured bacterium. Its description in RNAcentral is "bacterial SSU rRNA". It matches the Rfam family "Bacterial small subunit ribosomal RNA", at positions 29 to 524 of the family's 1533-position model. The record is from RNAcentral.
AACGAACGCUGGCGGCAGGCCUAACACAUGCAAGUCGAACGCCGUAGCAAUACGGAGUGGCAGACGGGUGAGUAACACGUGGGAACAUACCCUUCGGUUCGGGAUAACUCAGGGAAACUUGAGCUAAUACCGGAUACGUCCGCGAGGAGAAAGAUUCAUCGCCGGAGGAUUGGCCCGCGUCUGAUUAGCUUGUUGGUGAGGUAAUGGCUCACCAAGGCGACGAUCAGUAGCUGGUCUGAGAGGAUGAUCAGCCACAUUGGGACUGAGACACGGCCCAAACUCCUACGGGAGGCAGCAGUGGGGAAUAUUGGACAAUGGGCGCAAGCCUGAUCCAGCCAUGCCGCGUGAGUGAUGAAGGCCCUAGGGUUGUAAAGCUCUUUUACCCGGGAAGAUAAUGACUGUACCGGGAGAAUAACGCCCCGGCUAACUUCGUGCCAGCCGCCGCCGUAAG